Molecule: ribosomal RNA, 409 nt
Filed under: actinobacterium SCGC AAA278-N11
Lineage: Bacteria; Bacillati; Actinomycetota; Actinomycetes
Description: bacterial SSU rRNA
Rfam family: Bacterial small subunit ribosomal RNA
Source: RNAcentral
GCAGUGGGGAAUAUUGGGCAAUGGACGAAAGUCUGACCCAGCGACGCCGCGUGAGGGAUGAAGGCCUUCGGGUUGUAAACCUCUUUCAGCAGGGAAGAAGCGAAAGUGACGGUACCUGCAGAAGAAGCACCGGCUAACUAUGUGCCAGCAGCCGCGGUAAUACAUAGGGUGCAAGCGUUGUCCGGAAUUAUUGGGCGUAAAGAGCUCGUAGGUGGUUAGUUACGUCGGAUGUGAAAAUCUAGGGCUCAACCCUAGACCUGCAUCCGAUACGGGCUAGCUUGAGUUUGGUAGGGGAGACUGGAAUUCCUGGUGUAGCGGUGGAAUGCGCAGAUAUCAGGAGGAACACCAAUGGCGAAGGCAGGUCUCUGGGCCAAUACUGACACUGAGGAGCGAAAGUGUGGGGAGCGAA